GACGUAGGGGGCCAGCGUUGUUCGGAAUUACUGGGUGUAAAGGGUUCGUAGGCGGUGUGGCAAGUCGGGUGUGAAAUCUCUGGGCUCAACCCAGAGGCUGCUUCCGAAACUGCUGCGCUUGAGUGUGGGAGAGGCGCGUGGAAUUGCAGGUGUAGCGGUGAAAUGCGUAGAUAUCUGCAGGAACACCCGUGGCGAAAGCGGCGCGCUGGACCACUACUGACGCUGAAGAACGAAAGCUAGGGGAGCAAACAGG
This 253-nucleotide ribosomal RNA is filed under the name uncultured bacterium. RNAcentral's name for it is "partial 16S ribosomal RNA". It matches the Rfam family "Bacterial small subunit ribosomal RNA", at positions 524 to 776 of the family's 1533-position model. The record is from RNAcentral.